RNAcentral lists this ribosomal RNA (253 nucleotides) under uncultured bacterium. RNAcentral describes it as "partial 16S ribosomal RNA". It matches the Rfam family "Bacterial small subunit ribosomal RNA", at positions 524 to 776 of the family's 1533-position model. The record is from RNAcentral.
UACGUAGGUGGCAAGCGUUGUCCGGAUUUACUGGGUGUAAAGGGCGUGUAGGCGGGAUAGCAAGUCAGAUGUGAAAUUCCGGGGCUUAACCCCGGCGCUGCAUCUGAAACUGUUAUUCUUGAGUGUCGGAGAGGAAAGUGGAAUUCCCAGUGUAGUGGUGAAAUGCGUAGAGAUUGGGAGGAACACCAGUGGCGAAGGCGGCUUUCUGGACGAUAACUGACGAUGAGGCGCGAAAGAGUGGGGAGCAAACAGG